Long non-coding RNA from Salvelinus fontinalis (brook trout), 264 nucleotides. RefSeq lists it as uncharacterized. Lineage: Eukaryota; Metazoa; Chordata; Actinopteri; Salmoniformes; Salmonidae. The transcript has 3 exons. The record is from RefSeq and is a predicted model, not a curated record.
CAUAGACAGUUUCCUCAACAUAGGCCCUGAGGUAAGAUCUAGACAGCUACCUCAACAUAGGCCCUGAGGUAAGUUCCAUAGACAGUUUCCUCAACAUAGGCCCUGAGGUAAGAUCUAGACAGCUACCUCAACAUAGGCCCUGAGGUAAGUUACAUAGACAGUUUCCUCAACAUAGGCCCUGAGGUAAGAUCUAGACAGCUACCUCAACAUAGGCCCUGAGGUAAGUUCCAUAGACAGUUUCCUCAACAUAGGCCCUGAGGUAAG